RNAcentral lists this ribosomal RNA (200 nucleotides) under uncultured bacterium. RNAcentral's name for it is "partial 16S ribosomal RNA". It matches the Rfam family "Bacterial small subunit ribosomal RNA", at positions 8 to 238 of the family's 1533-position model. The record is from RNAcentral.
AGAGUUUGAUCCUGGCUCAGAACGAACGCUGGCGGCAGGCUUAACACAUGCAAGUCGAACGCUCCGCAAGGAGAGUGGCAGACGGGUGAGUAACACGUGGGAACGUGCCCAAAGGUACGGAACAACUCCGGGAAACUGGAGCUAAUACCGUAUGUGUCCGUAAGGAGAAAGAUUUAUCGCCUUUGGAUCGGCCCGCGUCG